This 3075-nucleotide long non-coding RNA is filed under the name Nicotiana benthamiana. RNAcentral's name for it is "long non-coding RNA (NBEN_LNC028472)". Lineage: Eukaryota; Viridiplantae; Streptophyta; Magnoliopsida; Solanales; Solanaceae. The record is from RNAcentral.
AAGUUAAUUUUCGAACAUGAUACGUUAAAUCUAAAGAGGACGUAGUAAGAGCAGCAUGAUUUAACACUUAUGGGCCAAGCCCAUUGUAUAUGGCAUAGAUUUGGACUUGGGCCGUCCCUAUGCUAAUUACGGCCCGGAUAAUUUAUUCUACACGUUUGACAUUUUAUGAUGGCUAAAUGUGAACCAGUUAUAUCUAAUUAAACCAGUUGUUAUGAAUAUAGAUAAGUAAUUUGUUAACUGAAACAGUCUAAAGCUAUUGAGUAAUUAAUCCUAAGACCUUACAUGCAUUUAGAGUAUACUUUUUGUUUCAAACAAAAGAAACAGAGGGCCGAAUAUUACUACUACAUCACAUGCCUUGUUUAACUAGCAUACAUAGGGACCUUAUUCACUAAGCUACUGUGAAGGGUUCCACUCUAUUAUAUCAUACAACUACAUGAUUCUAAUAGAGGAAGCUAACUAAUGUAUAUAUACAACCAUAAUUCAAAAUAUAACUUAAAAUAAAUCCUAGAGCUUCAGCUCUUCACUUGUAUUUCAUGCUUCAAUAUGUUUCAGCUUACAUAAUUCAGUACGUUCGAUUGUGUACCUGUAUUUGGAAAUGACAAAGAAGAAGAGGAAGGUCAGUAGUGCAGCAGUAACACAAGCACAGCAACAACACGUUCAACAAUAACCAACAACACUAAUGAACCCAGUAACAGAUACAGUAGCAGAAAACAAGGACCAGAUUCAAAAUACCAAGCAGAAAACCAAGAACCCUUAAUGAAUCAGGAUUCAAGACCAAACUGAAAUCACAUGAAAUGCCCAAAACAAAACCACAGUCAAAGGAGAAAAGGAACAGGCACAAGACAAUAGUAGUUGUCUGAUUUUGAACACUCAGAAAGAGAACAAAUUGAAACUCUUGAUAUAAAGCUCAUCCUUGAUCACUAUUACUCUCUGAAAAGAAUCUCAAAAUUGACUAAAAACAUUCAAGUUUUAAUCUUUGAAAUAUGAUUUUUCUCUCAAAAAUUUCCAGUCUCCAGUUCUGAAUUUUUUUUUCUAUAUUCAAAAUCCAGUUCUUAAGUGUCAAAUGAGUCCUAUUUAUCCCAAGCAAGACUUUAUCCUCCUACCCCUUAAUUAUUAUUACCACCCUCUUUUAUUAUUACCCUUUUCCUUUCUUUACUUUCCAGCCCAAAAAUAUUCCCCUAUAUGCGGGUUCUUUACCCUUUUAUCAUUACUUAUACUAUUCCUAAUUCCAAUUAAGUAAAAGCAGUCAAAAAUUAUCAUUUUCAGUUGUCGCCCCCUACCAAUUAGUCAAAUUAAAGCUACUAUGGCCCUACUGAGUAGACUACUCAGUCAAACCAGAUUUAUCUAUUUUUCUAUUCCUAAAACACCCAUGGAAUUCCUACUGACUGCCACUGUUCUGAUUCAAAUCAUCAGUAAGCAAAACCGAACUUAAAACUAUCUAAGACUAAAGUUUGAUUACCAGUGAUAACCAAUACUUAAUACCAAUUUGAACAAAAUCAAAUAACUAAACACCAUAAGAAAUACUUAUUUCAAAGCAUUUAAACAUGAAAAAUCAUCCACUACAGGAAAAUCAUGACCUGAACUGAUCAGCUCAGUUCUUCAAUUCAAGUAAUUAACAGUCUCAUCCAAUUGCAUACUUGGAACAUAAACAAAAUAGGCUAACAAUGCCGCUGACACUUUGAACAAAAUCCACUAUUAUCCUGUUUUUCCCUUCGACUUUUAAAACUAAUUAAUCGACGAUACUUAACGGAUCAAUUACGCAUAAUUGGAAAUAAAUAAGCAGAAUAAAAUACACAAAUAGGUACACAUGUAAUUUCAGUGACAUUUUGACAGAGACAGUGAGUUACCAUACAAUCAAUUGAUCGACGACACUAAUUGAAUCGACUUUAUGAACUUACACACAAUCAGAUAGCAAGAAAACAGAAUUAAAGUAGAUGAAUUAGGUGAUUCAUGUGAUUUUGGAAAGAAUAGGGAACUUAUGAAACUAAACUAUUCGACGACAUUAUUCAUCGAAUGUAUAGUUUAUCAUACACACUUUAACAAUGAACAAAAGAAAAAUCGACCAAAUAAAAGGUCAUACGGAGAAGAAGCAGAAAAAUAGUUGACAAAAUCAGAAAUAAUACAAAAAAAAACUAAACAAAUAAUUAUAACAAAUAACAACAAAGAAAACAGAAAAACAAAGAGAAAAUACCUCAGAAACCCUUAGAAACGGACAACCUUGACUUGAAUUUGAACUCGAACUUUUUAUUGAGGUUGAAUGGACCUUAAUCGAUUGUCACUGAGAACAUGUCGACUAAGGUCCAUUGAACACCCAAACCCCCCUUGAUUUGGACAGAAUUCCCGAAUUGGAUUUUUAGGGUUCUUUGGCUCGAUUUGGGAUUCGAGCAUUUCUACGCUGAUUCGAACCAAACCAAUGGUAUUUGGGGUAUGAGGGAAGUCAGGAGGAGUUGUGGUAUGAAUUUGAAGUGAGUUGGGAUAAGUUUCCGUUUGGCUCGAAUCUUCAAAUGAAGAUUCGAGAAGCUCUAAGAUGAUUCGAGCCAAAUGGUUUAGGAUUUGUGUUGGGGUGGUUGGAAGGUCACAGGGUGUUAGUUUGGCGAUCAUCGGAGACAGUUGGACUUUCAGGCUAACCUUUGAUUUAAUAUUUGAAGUGUUGGGGCCUGAUUCAAGGGGAGCUAUGGUGAUGGUUGGAAUGGGGAGGUCGAGGUGGUUCAGGGGUGUGAAUAUGGGGGUUAUUGGACCUCAGGCCGCCGAGAUUAAUGAUGGAGUACAAGGGGGCGGCGCUAGGGUUUGAUAGGGGUCUUCUGGUUCAGUCUUAGAGAGAGACGACAGGAAUGAGGGGGGUGGCUAUGGAGCGGCGCAUGGUGUGGUUUAGGAUUAUAUACUAGGGGGAGAUUGAAUCCAAGCCAUUGGAUCGUAUGAGAUAAACGGCUCGGAUCAUUCGAUUAAUAUAAAACGGGGUCGUUUGGUCUUUGAGGAGUAUUGGGUCGACCGGGGUCGAAAUGGACCGGGUUGUGAGUAGGCCUUGAGGCCGUUGGAUCAACUGAAAAAGACGGCUCAGAUCAACUGGUCCAAAAC